Molecule: ribosomal RNA, 400 nt
Filed under: uncultured bacterium
Lineage: Bacteria
Description: partial 16S ribosomal RNA
Rfam family: Bacterial small subunit ribosomal RNA
Source: RNAcentral
CCUACGGGUGGCUGCAGUGGGGAAUAUUGCACAAUGGGGGAAACCCUGAUGCAGCGACGCCGCGUGAGUGAAGAAGUAAUUCGUGAUGGAAAGCUCUAUCAGCAGGGAAGAAAAGGACGGUACCUGAGUAAGAAGCCCCGGCUAACUACGGGCCAGCAGCCGCGGUAAUACGUCGGGGGCAAGCGUUAUCCGGAUUUACUGGGUGUAAAGGGAGCGUAGACGGCAGUGCAAGUCUGGAGUGAAAGGCGGGGGCUCCACCCCCGGACGGCUCUGGAAACUGUACGGCUGGAGUGCAGGAGAGUUUAGUGGAUUUCCUCGUGUAGCGGUGCCCUGCUUUGCUCUUAGGCGGAACACCAGUGGCGACGGCGGCUUACUUGACUGUACCUGCCGUUGAGGCUCG